UACGUAGGGUGCAAGCGUUAUCCGGAAUUAUUGGGCGUAAAGAGCUCGUAGGCGGUUUGUCGCGUCUGCUGUGAAAACUGGAGGCUCAACCUCCAGCCUGCAGUGGGUACGGGCAGACUAGAGUGCGGUAGGGGAGAUUGGAAUUCCUGGUGUAGCGGUGGAAUGCGCAGAUAUCAGGAGGAACACCGAUGGCGAAGGCAGAUCUCUGGGCCUGACCUGACGCUGAGGAGCGAAAGCGUGGGGAGCGAACAGG
This 253-nucleotide ribosomal RNA is filed under the name uncultured bacterium. Its description in RNAcentral is "partial 16S ribosomal RNA". It matches the Rfam family "Bacterial small subunit ribosomal RNA", at positions 524 to 776 of the family's 1533-position model. The record is from RNAcentral.